RNAcentral lists this ribosomal RNA (497 nucleotides) under uncultured bacterium. Its description in RNAcentral is "partial 16S ribosomal RNA". It matches the Rfam family "Bacterial small subunit ribosomal RNA", at positions 28 to 507 of the family's 1533-position model. The record is from RNAcentral.
GAUGAACGCUGGCGGCGUGCCUAAUACAUGCAAGUCGAGCGAACAGAUAAGGAGCUUGCUCCUUUGACGUUAGCGGCGGACGGGUGAGUAACACGUGGGUAACCUACCUAUAAGACUGGGAUAACUUCGGGAAACCGGAGCUAAUACCGGAUAACAUUUGGAACCGCAUGGUUCUAAAGUGAAAGAUGGUUUUGCUAUCACUUAUAGAUGGACCCGCGCCGUAUUAGCUAGUUGGUAAGGUAACGGCUUACCAAGGCAACGAUACGUAGCCGACCUGAGAGGGUGAACGGCCACACUGGAACUGAGACACGGUCCAGACUCCUACAGGAGGCAGCAGUAGGGAAUCUUCCGCAAUGGGCGAAAGCCUGACGGAGCAACGCCGCGUGAGUGAUGAAGGGUUUCGGCUCGUAAAACUCUGUUAUUAGGGAAGAACAAACGUGUAAGUAACUGUGCACGUCUUGACGGUACCUAAUCAGAAAGCCACGGCUAACUACGUG